AUUAAACGCUGGCGGCAUGCCUUACACAUGCAAGUCGAACGGCAGCGGGCCCUCGGGUGCCGGCGAGUGGCGAACGGGUGAGUAAUGCAUCGGAACGUGCCAUUGAGUGGGGGAUAACGUAGCGAAAGUUGCGCUAAUACCGCAUAUUCUGUGAGCAGGAAAGCAGGGGACCGCAAGGCCUUGCGCUCUUUGAGCGGCCGAUGUCAGAUUAGCUAGUUGGUGAGGUAAAGGCUUACCAAGGCGACGAUCUGUAGCGGGUCUGAGAGGAUGAUCCGCCACACUGGAACUGAGACACGGUCCAGACUCCUACGGGAGGCAGCAGUGGGGAAUUUUGGACAAUGGGGGCAACCCUGAUCCAGCCAUGCCGCGUGAGUGAAGAAGGCCU
RNAcentral lists this ribosomal RNA (385 nucleotides) under uncultured bacterium. Its description in RNAcentral is "bacterial SSU rRNA". It matches the Rfam family "Bacterial small subunit ribosomal RNA", at positions 30 to 417 of the family's 1533-position model. The record is from RNAcentral.